This is a small nucleolar RNA of Gorilla gorilla gorilla (western lowland gorilla), 135 nucleotides long. Its record names the gene SNORA70. It matches the Rfam family "Small nucleolar RNA SNORA70". From Rfam's summary of the family: snoRNA U70 seems to be exclusive to mammals and is a member of the H/ACA class of snoRNA which contain H (ANANNA) and ACA box motifs. H/ACA box snoRNAs are involved in the conversion of uridines to pseudouridines (5-ribosyluracil) a constituent of structural RNAs (transfer, ribosomal, small nuclear, and small nucleolar). The record is from Ensembl. NCBI's taxonomy places the organism in Eukaryota, Metazoa, Chordata, Mammalia, Primates, Hominidae.
CCGCAGCCAAUUAAGCCGACUGAGUUCCUUUCUUCAUGGGGACCCAGUGUGCAAUGGCUGCACACAGCAGCUUCCUUGGUAGUGUACGCAGCCUGUUGGUUGUAUGGGUUGCUCUAAGGGACCUUGGAGACAGGC